Molecule: ribosomal RNA, 495 nt
Filed under: uncultured bacterium
Lineage: Bacteria
Description: partial 16S ribosomal RNA
Rfam family: Bacterial small subunit ribosomal RNA
Source: RNAcentral
GAUGAACGCUGGCGGCGUGCCUAAUACAUGCAAGUCGAGCGAACGGACGAGAAGCUUGCUUCUCUGAUGUUAGCGGCGGACGGGUGAGUAACACGUGGAUAACCUACCUAUAAGACUGGGAUAACUUCGGGAAACCGGAGCUAAUACCGGAUAAUAUUUUGAACCGCAUUGUUCAAGAGUGAAAGACGGUCUUGCUGUCACUUAUAGAUGGAUCCGCGCUGCAUUAGCUAGUUGGUAAGGUAACGGCUUACCAAGGCAACGAUGCAUAGCCGACCUGAGAGGGUGAUCGGCCACACUGGAAGUGAGACACGGUCCAGACUCCUACGGGGGGCCGCAGUAGGGAAUCAUCCGCAAUGGGCGAAGGCAUGACGGAGCAACGCCGCGUGAGUGAUGAAGGUCUUCGGAUCGUAAAACUCUGUGAUUAGGGAAGAACAUAUGUGUAAGUAACUGUGCACAUCUUGACGGUACCUAAUAAGAAAGCCACGGAUAACUGCG